GUGUGUAAGCCACUUUUAUUUUUAGUAUCUAAUUCACAGGUAAACCUAAUCCUGAUACAAGUGGUGACUAUGAUCAGUGGGUAGGAAAACAGAUUAUCCAGUGGAUGGUUUUGGAGAAACCAAUCAUGAAAAAAGGCUGAGAAAAAACCCUGCUAUUUCACCUCUCAAAUCUAAAUAAAUUCUGGAUAAAUCAAAGUUUUAAGCAUUUAAAAAAAGAUAAAAUAUGAGAAAAAACAGAGAAUAUUUCAUUUCUUGGAAUGACAUAGACCUUUAUAAGAUGAGAAAAUUAAAAUCCAUUAGGAAAAAUAAUAAAUUGGAAUAAAUGUAAAAAUUCUGUGGACUUCUGUACAGAAAUAAAUAUAUGUACUACACAAAUAAAAUAAAGAGAUAAACAACAAAUAGAAAAUAUUUGCAAUAUAUAUGACAAAGGACUAAUUUCUUAAAUGUACAAGGAAAGAUGAGCAACCCAACUAGAUAAUAAAUAAAGGAUAUGAACAAGUGAUCUGUAAUAAAAUAUCUGUAACCAUUUGGAAAGUUGUUUAAUUUCAUUUAUAAUGAAAUAAAUGAAAAAAAUUAAAGAUAGCCCAAAGAGAAAAACACUAAAAAUAUAAAAAUAAAAUAAAUGGAGCCUCAGUGUCCUGUGGAAUACCAGAGGACUAUCACAGCUGCAAUAUGGAUCACAGAAGGAGGAUCAGAGUGAACUAAAAAAACAUUUAAAUAAAUAAUGGCCUCUAAUUUGCCACAUUUGAUAAAAACUAUCAGCUUUCAGAUCAAAGAAUCUCAACAAGUCCCAAUCAGGAUUAAACACAAAGAAAACCAUAUGAAAGCAAAUAAUAAAUUGCUGAAUAUAAGCACUGAAAUAAAAAACUUUAAAGCAACUAAAGCAAAAAAAGACAUAAAAGGGAAUAAAGAGAACAUAGAGAGGCACAAAGAUAAGAAUCCAGAGACUGCUUGCCAGAACUAUUUAAUCCACAAGAAUAUGGGAAGAUUCUUUUAAGAGUUCAAAGAAAAAAAAAAGUCUAUCAGUAUAGAAUUCUAAAUCCAGGCAAAAACAUCAAUCUCAAAUAAACAAAGAAUAAAACCUUUUUCAAAUGUAAAGAAAAAAGCCGUUCCUGCACAAAUUCAUUGUCAGAGGAGCUACACUACUUGAAAUGUUAAAAAAUGUCUUUCAGGUAGAAAGAAAAUGAUACCAAAUAGAAAUUUUUAUCUACAAAAAGGAGUGAAAAUGCCAGAAAUAGUACAAAUGCGGGCAAAGGCUGGGAAGCUGACCUCUAUGGCAUAAUCACCCAGGACCCCUUAUUUUCUGGCUUGUUUUUGGAAUCUGCCAAUGAAUAGCACCCGUAGGAGGCUGGAGAAUGGUUUGGACAUUGAUUCCUCUUCUUUUCUCCCUGUCUUACUACCGUUCUGGUAGUUGCUGUGCCCUUAAGGCACAGGUGAUCUUUUCCUACAUUUCCAGUUCUCAGCAACCUAUUUUAGUCAAACUGUUGUUCUUCUUCCUUGCCUGUUCAGGCCCCAUAGUGACAAUGGUUUUCUGCUGUUGACAGUCCUCAGUGUUUCAUCAUACCUUGGCUAGUGGCCUUGACUCUGCUCAUACCUCCAUAAACAGUGUCAUCCAAAAUUUAUUCCAACCCUAACUGUAAGGCCUGGUAUCACGGCAGUGAAUGGCUCUGAAUCUAACUUUUAAUUCCACACUGCUUCUAUAUUGCUGUUAGCAGCAUGAAGUAUUAGUAGUUCAAGGUUUAUGGGAUCUAGAAGUUUGUUUUGGAAUCACCGGCAAGUAAAAAUUAAAUUACAUUUGAAAAUGAGCAAAGUAUCAUGAUUUAAUUUGCCUCUAGAUAUAUCUAUAAACACACACAAAAGAAUAUUCUUACCCCAUAUACUACAACACAGCCAUUUAGCAGUGAAAUAACUCUAAAAAAUUUAGCUUGGGAAUACUUCUCUCAUUGUAUCAUAAGUAAUAUUUUAAGCAGAAAUUCUGAGUUGCUCCAGUUUCCACUAAAUAAAACAUUUGAAAGCUACUAUCCUGAGAGACAUCCAGACUGAACACUCUUCAUAAAGCAGACUAGAAAGUUUACCAUUGUGCCAGGCCACUCACUCUGCAGAGGUUCCAGUGAUGACAAGGCAUUUUGCUCUCAUCCCUUCACUAGGAAAAAGAGAACAUAACCCAGAUGUCACUUGGGACUGCCCUGACCUUUACAAAGUGUGUCAAACUCCCAACCUCAGAACCUGGGAUGUCCAGUGGCUUCCAAGUGACCUCUGCAAAUAUCUGACAAACAUCUAGCAGAUCUUGUGUUUUCAUUCCAGAAUCCAUGGUGGUCAGUUUGAUUUAAUGUCAUGUACAAACAUACACAAAACUUUUCUCCAUUCCUGCUUUAGCAGGAAACUCAAAUGCAUCAACUACAUUAGGAUUUACAGAUUUAAUGAAAAAUUUGAGGAUCACUGUGAGGGCAUCACACUGAAAAACAUCGUGUCACCCUCUCUCUGGCUACAUUCCUUUCCCCUCUUGUCUCUCGUCACUGUCCCUCCACUUCUUCUCCCACUUCCUCACUUCUCCUCUUACUCUGCUCUCUCCUCUCCAUCUGUCCCUUCCAUCAGUACUUACUCACCGCAUGUGACCAUAUCUCUGCCUUUUGUAACAGUACCUGUAAUCCAUAUUGUUACAUCCACUGCCUUUUCCUAAGGAAAUUCUAGAGUAUAUGUUUUCUCUUUGAUGCACGAGUAAUUUAUAUAAAUACAAUUACUGGGAAAAUGCCCAAUUAAUUCCUUAGAGAAACCUGAAGGUCUGUGACAAAGAAUAUGCUUUUAAGAACUUAACCAGAAAAUGAAGCUUAAUAAAAGUACACUUUGAACUGCUCAACAUUUGAAAGGGGCUCGGACAUUUAAAAUAUAAAGUAUUUCUAAAUAUUUUGUGAUGGUCAAAAACUGUGAAUUAAUAAAUCUUGGCAGAACCCUUUAGAAUAAACCAACAUAUACUACGUCUUUAAGGAAGACUAGGGACAGCAAAGAUGGUACAGUCAGAAUUUGCUCUUAUGUAUCAGAUGUCCAGUCAUCCCUGGCAUAGGGUGAGUUCCCAGUAGAGGUCUGAGAUGAAAAUUUGUGUACAAAAAUUUAUUAAGGAAUUUCUCCUAGACAACAAAGAAGGAAGAGAAACCAAGCAAGGCUGUGUUUUUUAAGCAAAAUCUGUGGAGGGGAGCUUCAUUUUAACCCCCCAGCAUUAGAAUGUGAGUUAUGUUCCAUUCUGUGAAAAUGAGUUUCCCCCUGUCAACUCCCAGACACUUCUGGCUUGGGAGCACAGUGGCUCAACUUGAGGGCAGUCCUCCAAGGAAGAGUUGGAGUGGCAGACUCUUGAAAGCAAAGGUGCGCCAAAGCCAGGGGAAGGGCACUGUGGUAAUUUUAAAACAUCUCUACAAAUUCCCCAACACUGUUCCACAAAAGGAAGCCUAAUUCUCUUUCCCUUAAAUGUGGACUUGCCCUAAGGUCUCACUUCUAAUGAAAAGAAUGCAGCAGAGACACUGAGUGAAUUAUAAGGCUAAGAUCAAAAAGAGGUUACACUCUUCUGAUUCUGACUCCCUCUCUUGGGAUGGUCUUGCCCUUAGAACUCAGACUACACAGAGGUGUCUGCCUCACAGCCCCAACUAAGAUCCAAGCCCACAGUCAGCAUCGACCACAGACAUGUGAAUGAGGUCGACUUUUGACCACUCCCUCUUUCAGCCUUCCAGCAGAUGCCCCAAACAUCAUGGGCAGAGGACAUUUGGCCCCUGCCAUGCCUUGUUCUAACUCCUGACCUGAAGAAUCCAUGAGCAUUAUAAACCCUUGUUUUUUGCCAUUGGAUUGUGAAGUGAUUUGUUAUAGAGCCACAGCAUCUGGAAUAGGCAUGGAAAAUGUAAACACUUCUGUGGGAAGUUUCUGAAGGAAUCUGGGUGGAGUACUGGAAUCUGUGACAUUCCUAAUAAUAUUUUACUGUGAAUACCAUUCUGCCUCAGAUGAUUGGACAGACUCAUGGGAUAGUAUGAUUUAGAGGAAAGAACACUGGGCAAGGGGUCUCAGGACCUGGGUUCAAAUUCUAACUUGGCCACACAUAUCUGAAUCUCCUAGACUCAGUUUUCUUACCAGUAAUAUAGAGGUAACUAUACCUGUCUCACAGGUUGCUUCUGAGGACUGAAUAAGGUUAAGAUAUGAAAAAGUAUCUGACACAAACAUACUGUGUGUAGAGUCUCAGUGAGUCUAUUUUCUCCAUAAAAUGUGUACCUACUUCAUAAAGACCAGUUUUAUUUCAGCCAGUUCUUGUUCAGGUGAACAGUUCUCUUGGCUAAUAGAGGAGAGGCUCAGAUUCUUCUUUGAUUUAGGGCUUUUUCUGUGUUCAAAAGUCUUCCUUCCUCAAAGGACACUUGAAUAAACUUUUUUCUUUACUAAAUAGGUGUUCUGUACAGUUAAGUCUUGAAGAGAUUUCUCCUUUUGGGCAGCAUUAUUAUUAAAUAAUGUGGCAUUAUCCAUUAUAGAAACCAUCUUGACGAUUGGAAGUAUUGUCAAAACCAUAUUUGGUAAACCAGGAAUGAAAUACAUCUUUAUUAAGUUAUUCAACAAUUUUGAAGUUUGCAUUUGGAAACAUUCACAGAGUUCUUUUUAAGCUAUUAAUUUCACACCAAGGCAAGGAAGACAUGUCUAGACAAAUGUUCCUUAAAGGAAGUAUCUUAAAAUAAAGCCUUUUCUGAAAAGGUUAUAUACUCUUGUGCCCAAACAUUUUACUUUGAACUAAGAUAUUUGCUUUCUUGAAAGCAAGCUAAUGUUCUGUGAAUUAACCAGACUUCAGAGAGGUCUGAUUUUUACGAUAAAUAUUCAGGGUUGUGAAAAAAUAAAAAUAAAUAAACUAUUUUUGUUAACAAAAAGACUCUUCAUGGAACAUUUUUAUGGAGACCUUUUUUAAUUUAAUGGCAUUUACAGGCCUGAUGACAUAAAAAUAUUGGGAAAGACCAUAUUCUGGUCUUAAGUAGAGUCCAAUAUGAGUAUGUUGAAAAAUCAAAAUAAGAAUCUUUACAAUUUAUGGUGGCAUAUCAUUUGGUUACUGGUAAAAUGAACUGCCAAGACCAAGGAAUUUAGAAAUGUUAUUUGGCUUCCUCACAGUGCUGACUUUCUGAAUGAGCUGGGUUUGGUCAUAUCAGUAUGAUUCAAAUUGUUAACGACAAAGUAAUUAAUUUAACUAAAUUCAAGAUUGCUGCGAAGCUGAUGUACAACUAAUUUUUCUCACUUGAGAGAGACUUUCCAGGUAAAAGCACUGGAGUGACGCUCAGGACUGCAUCCUGCCUGAUUUUUUUGUGUCUUUUCCAGAGCUAUCUCUAGAGGAGAAAGAAGUCACCCCUGAGAAAAGAGCUGUCGCAAAUCACCUCCACACAAAUUCUUAUAUCAUGGCCCAAAAGGUGACCCAUGAAGAUGUCCCACUGCCAUCUCCCCAUAAGUGAGAUGAAUGAUGGCUAUUAGGAAUUCUGAAGUAAUGAAUAGUUUAUGACUUUAUAGCUCUGCCAACUCAUUCAUUCAUUCAUUCAAUGAAUAUUUAUUGAGUGCCUGCUACGUGUCAGGCACAAUUCUAAGCACUGGGAGUACAGUGUGAACAAAGCAGAUAAAGAUCCUUGCCCUUAUGAAGUGCAUACUACAGGAUGGGGAGGCAGGUGAUAAGCAAACAAAAAUAUAUGUAAUAUAUCUGAUGUUAAGGAUUAGAGAAAAAUCUGAGACAGAAAAGUUAGUGUGGAAAGUAGGAAUUACUAUUUUACAUGGGGUGAUCUGGGAAAGCUUCACCUAUAAAGGUAGCAUUUGAGCAGAGACCAGAAGGAGAUAAGGAAACAAGCCAUUCAGAUAUUUGGGGAAGAGCAGUCUAAGUACAGGGAGCAUCAAAUGCAAAACCUCUGAGAGGAGAGUCAGCUUGGCAAAUAAAAUGCCAAGAAGACUAGCAUGGCUAGAGCAGGGGACAAGAGACAGAACAGUAGGAGCAAAGAUCAGAGAGGCAGUGGACUAAACUUGGGAGUUAAGUCAUGCAGUGAGUUCAAGAAUUAAGGGAGUCUUUGAGAAGAAAGAAAACAAGAUGUCAAGAAUAGAAUUUAUGGAAACGUCUUCAUUUAGCAAGUAGAAAAAGAUAAAGAGGUAGUAAAGGAUAUUAAAAGAAGAUGGCGGGGACCCCAGGAGAAAGCAUUGCCACUAAGCCUUGGAAAGAAAAAUUAAUGAAAGAGGGGCUGUUCAACAGUGUAAACUGUUCCAUAUUUUGCAUGAAAACAACAACUGAGUAAAAGCCUUUCAAUUUGGAAAUGAGGUUAUAAGAGAUCUUUGAGAGAACAGUUUCUCCUGAGCAAUGGCAGUGGAUGUCAAGUUGGAAAGUAAGAGUGAGUGGUGAAGAAAAGCAGAUGGCACCUGUACACUGCCUUUGGUGCCACCUCCUCCUCCCUUGCUUUCUUCUUUUGAUAAAUUUAGACACAAAUGGGAAAAGGAAGAUAGGAUGAUACUUUGAAAGUACAGAAAGUAGUUGCAAGAAGAGCUGCUGGCUUUCCAUCUUUGUGACUAUACAUGACAGUAAAUCCCUGCAGAAUUCUAACCCCAAUGCUCAUAAUUUGUUGUACUUAGGGAAUGUACCAAAACCUCAUGUCAAAGAACUUACUGGAAUAAGACGCAAUCUCCCUUUUAGGUGGCUCUUAAGAUAAAAUUAGUUUUUGCUAGAGUUAUUUAUCCUUCUCCCCCUCCCCCACCCCUGUGCUAAUUUGACAGGAAGGUUUAGUUAUUCUAGUUCAUCUUAGCAAACUUGUUAAGACCGUGGAAGUAGUAUUUCAAGCAAGUACUAUUAAAAUAGAUCAAUCAUAACGAAUUUCAGUGAAAAAGAUUAAUCAGAUCUUUUAGGUUUCAUUCUACAAUGGUUAUAAAGAUACUUCCCAGGUCUUUUAAAAAAAUAAUUGCGUUAAAAAAUUGGCAAAUGUGUGCUAAUCUAACUGGCAGGUAUUCUAAUUUUGUGCUUUGUUCAACUUCGAGGGCUGUGAUGACAUUCAGUUAAAUGUUAUAUAUUAACACU
Molecule: long non-coding RNA, 7045 nt
Filed under: Sus scrofa (pig)
Lineage: Eukaryota; Metazoa; Chordata; Mammalia; Artiodactyla; Suidae
Description: lncRNA (ENSSSCG00030037146.1)
Source: RNAcentral